This 876-nucleotide long non-coding RNA is filed under the name Lactuca sativa (garden lettuce). RNAcentral describes it as "long non-coding RNA (LSAT_LNC008934)". The record is from RNAcentral. Lineage: Eukaryota; Viridiplantae; Streptophyta; Magnoliopsida; Asterales; Asteraceae.
GACACCUCUCCAAGUCCUUAUGGCAGCUUGCAUGUGAGAGCUCUGGGAGGAAAGUGGAUCUGUCACCCAGUCAUUCGAUAACUGCAUCAUUAAUAUUCCCCUAAAAUGGAGCAUGUAAGAAAGAAAUCUUAUUUGUGUUAAUUGUUAAUGCGUGAGACUUUUUGCGUCCUCACAUUUUAGUUCUUCAUUUAGUUUUUGUUAGAAACUAUUAACGUAGAUUGCUAGUUAAUGAAUUAUCUGUUAAAUAAUGAACCAUUGUGAUGGUUCAUGAAAAGUUGUGUUGGUUAGACCCAACCGUUUGUUUCUCCUGUAUAUAUAAAGUCUUGUGUAACUUUUAUGUGGUUGUUGGACGUAUUGAUGAUUAUAUCAAUAAAAAAAGUCUAUUUGGUGUUAUAUCUUAUCAUCAGCUUGAAAUUCUAUCUUUAUCCCCACCAAAGAGCCGGCAAUUCUAAAUCAAAAGGAUAUCUCGUUUCUUUCCUCAAAGAUGGCUACGAACAACAAUCUUUAUCAAACCCAAUUACCACAAAAUUAUCAUCACUGGAGUAUCUCCAGAUGAGGGUUUUGUAUGAAUCUUCGGAUCUAUGGAGUUAAUCCCACUGCACAGCAAGAAAAGGAUUUAAAGGGAUUAGAGAAGAAAGACAAGAUGGCGUUGUUCCUUAUCUACCAAGCGGUUGACUCUCCCAUCUUCGAGAGAAUAGCAGGAAGGCCUGGGAUACAUUGUAUAUAUAACGGUUAUAGGGGGAGAUGAUAGAGUAUAGCAUUUGCAAACCCUGCGUUGUGAAUUUGAUAGCCUGAGAAUGAAGGAAUCAGAAACCAUUGAAGAAUUUUACAACCAUGUGAUUGCCUUGGUGAAUCAAAUGAGAUUAAAUGGAGAAU